GGGGAAUUUUGGACAAUGGGCGAAAGCCUGAUCCAGCCAUGCCGCGUGCAGGAUGAAGGCCUUCGGGUUGUAAACUGCUUUUGUACGGAACGAAAAGACUCUGGUUAAUACCUGGGGUCCAUGACGGUACCGUAAGAAUAAGCACCGGCUAACUACGUGCCAGCAGCCGCGGUAAUACGUAGGGUGCAAGCGUUAAUCGGAAUUACUGGGCGUAAAGCGUGCGCAGGCGGUUAUAUAAGACAGAUGUGAAAUCCCCGGGCUCAACCUGGGAACUGCAUUUGUGACUGUAUAGCUAGAGUACGGCAGAGGGGGAUGGAAUUCCGCGUGUAGCAGUGAAAUGCGUAGAUAUGCGGAGGAACACCGAUGGCGAAGGCAAUCCCCUGGGCCUGUACUGACGCUCAUGCACGAAAGCGUGGGGAGCAAAC
This 425-nucleotide ribosomal RNA is filed under the name uncultured bacterium. RNAcentral's name for it is "bacterial SSU rRNA". It matches the Rfam family "Bacterial small subunit ribosomal RNA", at positions 356 to 773 of the family's 1533-position model. The record is from RNAcentral.